RNAcentral lists this long non-coding RNA (464 nucleotides) under Androctonus crassicauda. Lineage: Eukaryota; Metazoa; Arthropoda; Arachnida; Scorpiones; Buthidae. The record is from RNAcentral.
CUGCAGUCAAUGGAAACAGUAAGAAAAAGUGAGGUUUAUAGAAAUAUGAAUAAUAAGCACGGAUGAUGAUAAGAAACAUUUUAAUUUCGGUUUCUCGUUUUUACUUUUAAGAUAAUUAAAAAGAAAGGAAAUAUCUGCUUUGUUGUGAUCAAAUAUUAUGUCAAAGUAUAACCAGUUAUCCAAACAGUUGGAUCAGUUAAAUGUGUUAAAUAGUGAGCUUACAAACCUGAAAAAAACUGCGAGAGUUUAUACACAACAGCCUAAUAGUCAUAUCUUUUUUCUUGAUGAUUUAAACAAUGUGAAAUGUAAAACUAAAGAAAACAUUAAAGAAACUGAAGAAAAAUUGAAGAAAUGUCAAAAAUAAGAAAUGUUUUUCAAAUUAGAAGAAUUUACAAUAUUGUGUGUUCAUAUCCUUAUCAUAGAACUUACUGAUUCAAAUAUGCCAAAAUAUUAUAAAUUAUCCA